UACAUGCAAGUCGAGCGAACGGACGAGAAGCUUGCUUCUCUGAUGUUAGCGGCGGACGGGUGAGUAACACGUGGAUAACCUACCUAUAAGACUGGGAUAACUUCGGGAAACCGGAGCUAAUACCGGAUAAUAUUUUGAACCGCAUGGUUCAAAAGUGAAAGACGGUCUUGCUGUCACUUAUAGAUGGAUCCGCGCUGCAUUAGCUAGUUGGUAAGGUAACGGCUUACCAAGGCAACGAUGCAUAGCCGACCUGAGAGGGUGAUCGGCCACACUGGAACUGAGACACGGUCCAGACUCCUACGGGAGGCAGCAGUAGGGAAUCUUCCGCAAUGGGCGAAAGCCUGACGGAGCAACGCCGCGUGAGUGAUGAAGGUCUUCGGAUCGUAAAACUCUGUUAUUAGGGAAGAACAUAUGUGUAAGUAACUGUGCACAUCUUGACGGUACCUAAUCAGAAAGCCACGGCUAACUACGUGCCAGCAGCCGCGGUAAUACGUAGGUGGCAAGCGUUAUCCGGAAUUAUUGGGCGUAAAGCGCGCGUAGGCGGUUUUUUAAGUCUGAUGUGAAAGCCCACGGCUCAACCGUGGAGGGUCAUUGGAAACUGGAAAACUUGAGUGCAGAAGAGGAAAGUGGAAUUCCAUGUGUAGCGGUGAAAUGCGCAGAGAUAUGGAGGAACACCAGUGGCGAAGGCGACUUUCUGGUCUGUAACUGACGCUGAUGUGCGAAAGCGUGGGGAUCAAACAGGAUUAGAUACCCUGGUAGUCCACGCCGUAAACGAUGAGUGCUAAGUGUUAGGGGGUUUCCGCCCCUUAGUGCUGCAGCUAACGCAUUAAGCACUCCGCCUGGGGAGUACGACCGCAAGGUUGAAACUCAAAGGAAUUGACGGGGACCCGCACAAGCGGUGGAGCAUGUGGUUUAAUUCGAAGCAACGCGAAGAACCUUACCAAAUCUUGACAUCCUUUGACAACUCUAGAGAUAGAGCUUUCCCCUUCGGGGGACAAAGUGACAGGUGGUGCAUGGUUGUCGUCAGCUCGUGUCGUGAGAUGUUGGGUUAAGUCCCGCAACGAGCGCAACCCUUAAGCUUAGUUGCCAUCAUUAAGUUGGGCACUCUAAGUUGACUGCCGGUGACAAACCGGAGGAAGGUGGGGAUGACGUCAAAUCAUCAUGCCCCUUAUGAUUUGGGCUACACACGUGCUACAAUGGACAAUACAAAGGGCAGCGAAACCGCGAGGUCAAGCAAAUCCCAUAAAGUUGUUCUCAGUUCGGAUUGUAGUCUGCAACUCGACUACAUGAAGCUGGAAUCGCUAGUAAUCGUAGAUCAGCAUGCUACGGUGAAUACGUUCCCGGGUCUUGUACACACCGCCCGUCACACCACGAGAGUUUGUAACACCCGAAGCCGGUGGAGUAACCUU
RNAcentral lists this ribosomal RNA (1409 nucleotides) under Staphylococcus aureus. RNAcentral's name for it is "bacterial SSU rRNA". It matches the Rfam family "Bacterial small subunit ribosomal RNA". The record is from RNAcentral. Lineage: Bacteria; Bacillati; Bacillota; Bacilli; Caryophanales; Staphylococcaceae.